AGCUCAAGAAGGAGACUAACUUCUAUAGCAACUUUCAUAACCGGAUAGUGACAGAGAAGAAUCUUGUAAAGAAGGAUUUGGACACACUGAACCAGGAGAUCAUGACAGUACAGGUUGACUGGAAUUCAAUCCAGAAAUAUUUGCUUGAAUUCAUCCUGAAUGACAAAGACGAACAGAAAGAGACCAGCAAGCUCCAGACCCAACACCAUCAGGUCUCAGAAACUGCAAGAGGGCUGAGAUUGGCC
Molecule: long non-coding RNA, 245 nt
Organism: Grammomys surdaster
Lineage: Eukaryota; Metazoa; Chordata; Mammalia; Rodentia; Muridae
Exons: 3
Source: RefSeq, a predicted model, not a curated record